UAUUAAAAAUUUUAUCCAUUUAUACUGUUAAAAACUAGUGUGGCUAACGAAAUAAUCAAACAGUAACACUUGUGCCAUGUGUACCUCGUAUGUUGACGUACAUAAACUAGUUUUUAACCGUAGAAAUGGAUUGAAUUUUUAACA
Non-coding RNA from Gossypium hirsutum (cotton), 144 nucleotides. NCBI's taxonomy places the organism in Eukaryota, Viridiplantae, Streptophyta, Magnoliopsida, Malvales, Malvaceae. The record is from Rfam.